AUGGGGACACUUCAGGGAGUGGCUCUCAGGUCCCGAGAAAGACCUUCCUGGCCACAGGAGACACACAGACAUCAGGAAGGGACAGAGGAAGGAUGUGCAGUUGCAGCCUUUACAGCAGAUGCUCUGAGAAUGGGAGGUCGAGAGUUGGAGCAAACGGUCAGUUCUGACAGGGCCUCAGACCUAAGGCAGGAGCACCCCCUACACCAGACCUCCUGGGUCACAGGAAAUGCACAGACAUCGGGAAGGGACGGAGGAUGGACGGAGGAAGGACGUGCAGUUGCAGCUCUUUCUGCAGAUGCCCUGAGAGAGGAGCAAGAAGGUCCUUGCCAGAUGCUCCUGGACUUGCUUUGGACUUUCCCUUGCUCUUGGACUUGCUCUGGCACCUUGCUCUUGGACUUCACAGCCUCUAG
This 410-nucleotide long non-coding RNA is filed under the name Homo sapiens (human). RNAcentral describes it as "non-protein coding lnc-LINC02203-13:1". The record is from RNAcentral. Lineage: Eukaryota; Metazoa; Chordata; Mammalia; Primates; Hominidae.